Molecule: long non-coding RNA, 1064 nt
Organism: Fukomys damarensis (Damara mole-rat)
Lineage: Eukaryota; Metazoa; Chordata; Mammalia; Rodentia; Bathyergidae
Exons: 6
Source: RefSeq, a predicted model, not a curated record
UCCCGGUCAAGUAUACCUGGAUUUAUUAUUCUUCCCAAAAGUCCUCUAUGUGCUUCCCAAUUUCAAUCCCUUUUCUUAUAACAAGGGCUUUCUUGCAUGUUUACAGCUUUGUCUUCCUAGAAGUGCGUUCUCAGGAAGACACACCUGUGUGCAUGCAAGCAUCCGUGUGUAUUCAAAAGCAUCAGAAAGCUAAGAUUUUUUUUAAAGUGAGACUUUUACAAAUCUGAGAAGCUGGCAGAUUUUCAGAACACAUCAAAGCACUGGGAGGACAAAACUUGGAUUUCAGAAAUCAAGAAGGAGUGGGAAAUACUUACAUCCAGGCUUUUCAGGAGGGAUCUCAAAAGACCAUGCACGGAUAACCAUGAUGAAGUUAUUCAGCUGUUUGCUAUUUGACACUAAAUAAAGUCUAAAGAGGCCAGAAGAUCCAUUUCUGAGAACAGCAACAUCGUAAAAUCAAAGACUAUUUAUCUGCAUCCAAAUGGAAAAAAAAAGACAUCAAAUAUUCAUGAAUCCUUAAACACUAAGAUCUUCCACAGAAGUGUUUGACAACAUCCUUUGGGAGAAGAUCAACUGUAUGGCUUACCAUGACAUGCUAAUAUAAAGGGACAGGCUGAAAUGUAACCAUACACACCUACUCCAGCUCAUCUCAGAAGCUGAGAUGCUUAUGGUAUGCAUGCAGCCUUGACAGCAAGGAAGCAAAACCUCAGUCUCGUUUAUGAAGAGGCCAGCCCAUCUCUAGCACUGAGCAGCAGGAUGCUUUUCACCUCCGCCCACUGUAGGAUGUUUGAGUCCUACCAAGACUUAAUAUAGCAAUAUCAGGCUCCACAGAAGUUACUAAUGGUAUCAUUUUCUACUCGUCUUCACCAGAGAGCCAUCAAGAUUUCAUCUAAACUUGUUCAUCAAAACUUUCAGAAAUAAUAAUGGCUCCCAUCUGAAUCUUCAUCAAACAUGCCUUUUUUUUACAAGGAAUCGUCUGAUACCACUCCGAGAGAAAAAUGGUCUUUUGUCCUGCACAUUUCAGCAACUGUAGAUUGUCAACCCUGAGGAUCUGAAACACUAGGCAA